Molecule: long non-coding RNA, 3635 nt
Filed under: Xyrichtys novacula (pearly razorfish)
Lineage: Eukaryota; Metazoa; Chordata; Actinopteri; Labriformes; Labridae
Source: RNAcentral
GAGGUUGAGGUUGGGUGAGGCUCAAGGUAGAAAGAGAAGACGGAAGAGAGGAUGGAGAUUAAGGGGGGAGAGAGUGGAGGAGACAGAAGCAAGGAAGGACAAAUUUAGAGAGAACAGGAGCGGAGGGGAUGGGAAGGGAGGGAGGGAAAUGAGGGAAAACACUGAGGGAGAGACAGAGAGAAGAGGAGGGGGAGGUGGAAGGGAAGAGGAAUGCUGCAUUUCAGUGAUAGCACCGACAGAGGCUGCAGGAGCAGACAGAAAGAUGGAGAAAAACGAUGAGAGAGGUAGAAAAUAAGAGAGGGGAGCAGCAGGAUUCCCAGACAGGUAAAAUAUUAAACGGCUAUAAAAUGAUAUAAAGAAUGUUUUUAAUUUCUCAUAUUUCAGUGAAAGACUCAGAGGGGCCUUCAAUGACAGGGGACACCAAAAAUUUACUUAAUAUCAUGGAAGAGUAGUCAACCUGUCCAUAUAUCCAUCCAUCCAUCCUGCUGUCCAUCAUUCCUCCCUUUAAUCCUAUAAGCUCCUCCUCUCACUUCACUCCAUAUCCAUCGUACAAUCAUCUAUCCAUUCCACCCACACAUACACACACAAACACACACACACACACAUACAAGGAGGCUUUUUCUCCACAACCGCCCCCUCUUCUUCAUCUUUCUCCUCCUCCCUCCGUAUCUCCUCUGCUGUCACUUCCACAGAUCCAGAGGGCAUCUCCUUUUUUCCCCCCUCAUUUUAUUCAUCUCCACACAUCCUUCUCAGUCCCUCUUAGAAGGUCUCCUCUGUGGUUGUGUGUUUACAGUGAGCAUUUAUCAUUUCUUUGUCUUUUUCCCCAGAUUGUGAGCCAACAAGUGCUUGAAGAAGCAGCAAAAAAAGGUAAAGGCAGGAUUAAAAAGAAGUGAUCAGAACAGAGAAAGAAAGGAGAAAAGAAAACAACUGUCAGCCCACAAAGACAGAAAGCUUCUUGAAGAUAAUAGAGGGCACAUGAAGCGAGAAAGUGUUUUUCUCUUUGCUUGGUCGUCCAUCCACAGGUCUUUUCUAUGACCGUCUCAGCAGGAUGCAGAGGCGUGAUUUCAGUGCUUGCAAAAAAAAACGACAAACAGACCCUGAUGUGAUGUUACAGAGUGAGAGGAAGAGGAGACAGAAAAAUUAGAGGAACAUUAGCAAGAUUCUGCGAGGGGAGAAAGGGAGGAGAGAGAGAGAGAGAGCGGUAUGAGUCAGAACACAGCGGCGAGAAGCGUGUGCGUUCUGCAUGCAAGAGGUGAGGUGGAUGAACAAUGAGAGAGAGAGAGAGAGAGAGAGAGGGAGGGAGGGAGAGAGAAAGAGAUGUAGAGGGGAAGAAUUGAGAGGACCUGAACAGAAUUGAGCAGCUGUUUGACCGAGGGAGGAGAGGAUGAGGAGCAGACGCAGGGAGACACAGAGGCUGGGUGAAUCAGCUUGCUAAAGAUUUAGUUUGGAAGGUAGAGUUUAGAGACGGCUGAGGGAAGGGUGAAUGAAGAUUUGCUGAAGGCUGGACAGUGCAUGGAAAAGAGUUAAGGGCAAGGAUGAGGUUAAUGAGGGAAAAAGCAUUUGAAACGCUGAAGGGCAGAAAGUUCUGAGUGACAACAGGGCAGACAUACCAAGAAGCUUCAGGAGGGAUGAACACAGACAAAGCAGAGCCAAGAAAAAGCAAAACAUAGCAAUAGGGAGCAAAUCAGGAACUGUCACAGCAGCAUUUAGCGGGGAAAAAAAAAACACAGCGAGAGUAAAAUCAACGGACCAAAAGAACAUGUCAUGCGACGCACAACGACAGGAACAUGGAAACUUUAACUGUGACAGCAACACAGCAAGACAUUCCUGUUAAAUAUUGAUGCUGACAGGCCACUCUGAAAGGAGCCUGGCCCUUUCACCACCACAGAGGGGGGGACACGGAGAGAGGAGGCUGACUUUUUAUCCGGGUGUUUUUAUUUUUUAUUUUUAUUUUGCAUAGGAACGGACGAGCGUCGGAUGACAACCAAGUGUGGUCAAGUUGGAAUGUUGCAACAAAUUUAGAGAGGACUGACAGAUUCGGCGAGACACUGCCUGCCUCCAGGAGGUUUUUCUCCUUUUGGCCAGCUGUGCUAAUUCUUGGGGAAAGUGGAAUGAGUACAGACAGAAGAAGUGCACUUUUUUUUGUGUGUGUGCGUUGGAAGAGGAAAAUCUACAUUUGAGAAAUCCCUGCUCUCACAGCAAGACUAGAACAACCUGAUUUUCUACAAGACAAAGGAAAAAGGUUGGCUGAUGACUUUGGCGUCCUGUUUUGGGUUGACACAUUGAACCUUCGAUCACUGCCAGAGGUGAAGAGACAACUACUGAGGAUCCUCUUUUUCUUCCCGUUCGACAAGGUGAAAAUGCUCCAACUAUCACUAAGAAAAUGUGAUUUUUUUCAGCUGUCAUGGCUUCAGGAAAUCCAACUGUGGAUCUGUUUUGAUGUGAACAAACAAGAAGGAUCCUUUAAGUGAAAACAGGAUGCGUAUUUUAAUUUUUGUCUCUGUAAUAGAUUGAUCCGCAACGGGUGAUUCUCCAACUUAAUGUGAUGAAGAAAAGCUGCCUUCCUCCAGUCUGAUCUGAUCCCUCACAACAUCUCCACGGUCUCUAUUCAGCUGCGGGGAAACCAGCUGCAUGUUUGUGUAUGUGCGAGUGUGUGUGGCUGCGUGGGGGGUGUAAGGACUGUCGAGGAGCUCGUCCGUAUAUGCUAGUGUGGGCGUAGAGGUGCGGGAGUGUGUUUAUGCCGUCCCCGAGUUUCGAACCCAGCUGUGUCUGAGUGUGUUUUCAAAGCGUCGCCUGCAGCUGUGUGAGUGUCUGCGUUUGUUUGUGUGUGUGUGUGUGUGAGCGUGUUGCUCGGAUUCAGCCCACCAGCGACAGAGCUGGACCUGAACAGCAGCAGUGAGAGGGGGGACAGGGAGGGGGAGGAGGAGAAGGAGAAGAAGAAGAGGAAGAGGGAGGUGAGAGGAACCAGCAGGACGGAGGACAAGAAGAAACUGACAACAUGCUGGACUAAAGAGAAGAAAGAGAGGAGCUUCUGGCUGCCCCCCUGGUGCAAUGUGUGGUGAGUACAUGCUUCUGUGUUUGUGUGUGUGUGCGCUUAUGACUGCCAUGUGUGCAUGUGUGUGAAGAUAAGAGCAUCAUAUCCCCUCAGGAGGUUCUCCAAGGUUAAAGGUUAAAUGUCAAUGAGAGGACUCAGGGUUCAGGGGUAUUAAGAUAGUUAUGGUGAAAUAAGUAUGUCCAGUGGGCCUCAUUAUGUUCCACCAGUUCACGCAUAUUAAUGUAGGUCACAUGACACAGUGCCCAUUUGGUCACAUGACAUCCAGCCUGGGACCCGUGUGUAAGUCAAUCAAGCCCAAAGCAAAUGGAGGCAUGUUCACCCAACUACUCAUCAGUUUGUUGUUGAGAUGCAACACGCUUUUCUUUGCAACUGAUGUCAGUCAAAUUACUUAAUUUCAGCUCCAUAUAUUCAAUACAGAGUUCAUAAACCCUAACAAAUAACACAACUCUUGACCGUAAAUGAUAUUUUUGCACAUUAAUGCUUCUUAAACUCCAAAACAAGAUCAUUACUUUCAAAACCAUGAAAUUGAAGUCUGGACAAUCAGAAAUUUAUUACAGGCAUCUUUCCCAACGCUCACUGG